Molecule: long non-coding RNA, 465 nt
Organism: Mugil cephalus (flathead mullet)
Lineage: Eukaryota; Metazoa; Chordata; Actinopteri; Mugiliformes; Mugilidae
Exons: 2
Source: RefSeq, a predicted model, not a curated record
UUCUUGACUAAGCGUUUGGUCUUCUGAAAAAAAUAAAGAUCAGACACUUCUUUUGGCAUAUUCUCACAACAAAGAGAGACAAACAAUGCUUUGAAACAAUAAUCAAAUCCCUGACUGCAAAGUGCAAAGUGUGUUUAGGUGAUUUUAAGUGAUUGUAGGUUUUUAUUGCCCAACUCAUGACAUUUAUUUAAAUUUAAAAUGUCAUAAUGCUAAAGUUGUCCUGAAGAAAGUUGUUCAAGAGAGAAUUUACUUCCUCUCUAUUAGAAGGUGUCAAUGAUGAGACUAUCAUAGGCGGUUUAAACUUCUGCGCCGCCCGUAGUUUAGCCUACGCAGAGCCUAGCGCGUAGCUGAUGUGCACCUCCCCAGAAGCGUAAAAACAUGUACGAAAUUUUGCGAAAGUUUCAGUUACCAUUGUUGAAACUGAAGCAGAAAGUAAAAACACAUAUUGACCCAACUGGCAAAAAA